AUCCUUACUUCUGUGAAAUUGUGGACUGCAACUUCUGCCGGGGCCAGUUAAAGGGCCAGGAGAUGGAGAGGGUUGCGUGAAUGCCAUUCAAGAAAAGGGCAACAGAGGCUAAGGGGUUAAACUCCCCAGAAAACCAAUUUAUGCAAAGGGCUGGAUCCUGACCGGCAUUCUGCACUAAAGAUCUGAAUUACAAAUUUAGAGAAUUUGCUGCUCGACAACGAAUGCAGGAAGGACCUCACUGGCUGCUGGGAACAACUGCCCUUUUGAAUGAAUUCUUUUAUGGUUACCAGUCAAAAAGUCACCGUCAGCUGGAACUGGAAGGGAGGGGCAUUUCUUAUCUGGGCAAAAAGCCCCUGUACCCAGCGAGGUGAAACUUGCAAAUGAUACUGUCACCUUCCUCAAUGGACUGCAGCUCAGGAGCUCACCAAAGGUUGCAGCAGACAACCCCCACGGUGUUUGGAGACAAAGGAAUAGCAGCUGCCUGGUUUCCUUGAAUCACCCCGUGCUCUGACGAUGGCAGUGAUGGGCCUCCCACCAAUGGCUUCCCCAAGUGCUGUUUUCCUGCUUCAUGCCAAGUUAAGCAUUCUGAUACUAAGCGGCACGAGAUAGUUCUCAACUGGGUGAGGCACAGGUGUGAGUAAUCUCGAGGUAUGGUCAGGAGGUUUGAAAAAACUAACCCAGCUGCAAGGAAAAGACCUCUGGUCUUUAUUGGAAACACGAAUUUGACCUGUCCAAGCUGGGAGCUAAUAGGCCCCAGCAGCUCAGGAUCCCCUCCUCACUUACGCUUGGGUUUUGAGUGAUACCAUAUUUUUCUGAACACAUUUUCCAAAUGCCUAUUUGCCAAAGCCGUGGUGUAAUUUGCCUAAGCAGCAAACUUGUCCUUAGAGUCGAGGUCCAUCCACAUCAGGAGAGUAUAUUCAAUGUUUAUCUCCGAUCAAUGUGUGAUGAAUUGCAUAUGAGAUAGAUUUGUGUGAGCCAAUGUGUGUGUGUGGAUCUGUGUUAGUUACAUGUGUUUAUUUGCAUGUAUGUAAAUAUGACUGUGUGAGUGCAUGGAUCUAUUCCUGCAUGAUAUAUAUUUAUAUAUAUGAAUAUGUGCAUAUAUAUGCAAAUAUGGGUAUAAAUAUGUAUCUGAACAUAUAGGUGUGUAUCUGUAGUGGACACUGUCAAUGCACUCAUCCUCCAGUUACUUAGGCAUCCCAGCUUCUCAGCUCAAUGGGGGCCGCUUGCCCAUCCCCCCACCUCCCAGGGCAGCCCAGAAUUCACCUACCAGGGUUCAAAGGCUGGCUCCCUUGACUCAAGGUCAAACUAUCUGGGUGGUGCAAUUCAUGCUCCAGUUGAAACCAACCCUUGCCCAACUCUUUUCUUGCCCUCUUCUUUUUCUCUUACUCCCUUUCCCUCGGAGCCCACUCUCAGUAUAUCCUAUGCGUCCAAAUCCCCAUCUCAGGCUCUGCUCCAAGCAACCUGGCCUAAGACAGCACUAUUCUAUACAUGCAUGUGUGUGUACAUGCAAACAUACAACUGCACACAUUUGUGUGUGUGUGUGCCCAUAUACAAGGAAAUCCGGGAAGAUCUGGGAGAGAAUGAUCUUCCAAAGAAGAUAAUGGAGAAAGAGUAUGGAUUUUAUAAUGUAGAAGUUAGAGUCAUCUCAGAUAUAGAGUGGGACUGCUUUGAAGUUGAAAAUUAAAAGAUACUUUAGAAGUAAAUGUAUUUUUUAUUAAAUCAGAAAAAGAAA
Molecule: non-coding RNA, 1732 nt
Organism: Homo sapiens (human)
Lineage: Eukaryota; Metazoa; Chordata; Mammalia; Primates; Hominidae
Source: RefSeq, a predicted model, not a curated record